Long non-coding RNA from Eutrema salsugineum, 2172 nucleotides. RefSeq lists it as uncharacterized. The record is from RefSeq and is a predicted model, not a curated record. Lineage: Eukaryota; Viridiplantae; Streptophyta; Magnoliopsida; Brassicales; Brassicaceae. The transcript is spliced from 4 exons.
AACUCUCAAAACCCCCAAAUCCUCAAGAACCCUAAAAUCGAAAAUCCCAAAUACUAAAUUCGUGAACCCUAAAUUGAAACCUCAAUCCCAAAUCAAACCCCAAUACUAAAUCAAACUUCAUUCCCGAAUCAAACCUAAUUCCGAUUCCACCUCAAUCUUCGAUUUCUUCUGCAAAUAUCGAUAGUGGAGUGGCUCUUGGGUAUGAUUCCGAUGGUGAAGAUCGCAGGGAGCAGAAUCACUACAACAUCGAGCAAGCUCUGACUGAGUAUCAAGAUGAGCUUUCCAUAAGGCACAAUAUGUACCCGAACUUGGAUGAAGAAGAUGCGACGUGAGCGAAGGCUCAGAGACGCGACAGUUUCCGACAAGGCAAUGGAAGCUUGUACUUAGGACAAGUCUUCGUCAGUGGUAUAACGUUCAAGGAGAGUGUCCUGGACUAUGUGCUGAAGAAUGGUUACAAUCUGAGUCAGUACAGGUAUGACAAGACGAAGCUUUGGUUUAAGUUUGAGGGAGAUGGUUUUUCAUAGCGCAUCUACUGCUCUUGACCAGGUAACAAUACAAUGUGGGAGGUUGCGGUGUUUGAGUCAGUUCAUUGUAGUGUUCCCAAUAGGGUUUGUGAGAUGUUCAAGGUGUCGGUGAUUGUCUGACUCUUUUUUGAUAAGAUUCAUGAAGAACCAGAAUACUUCAUGCCUAUGAAGAUUAAGGAGUUGGUUAUGGAGAAGUGGAAGAUAUCUGUGACAAGGCUUCAAUGCCAGCAUGAGAGGAAUAAAGCUCUGAGAUGGAUUGAAAGAGAGUAUGAGGAGCAGUUUGCACGUCUCCGAGAUUAUGCAAAAAAGAUAGAAGUCUCUAAUCCUGGAACUUCCAUGGAGGUUGAUUGCAUGAUAAAUGAAGAACGUAAACAUGUCUUUCAAAGAUUAUAUGUCUGCUCCGAGAACCUCAGAAGAUCAUGGAAAGAAAACUGUAGGCCGAUGAUAGGAGUGGAUGGUUGUUUCUUAAAAAUUGUCCACAAAGACGAGUUGUUUGUUGCAAAUGGUCGAGAUGCAGACAAUCAGAUCUACCCAGUCGCAUGGGCUGUAGUACAAAAGGAAAAAGAUGAUAAUUAGGGUUGGUUCUUUGGUAAGAUCAAGCAUGAAUUAGGACUAGAAGAUGGAGAUGGUUAUGUUUUAAUCUAUGAUCGCCAAAAGGGAUUGAUCAGUGCCGUUCAAAAAAUCCUGCCAAAGAUAGAGCAUAGAAUGUGUACAAGGCACAUUUACAUGAACUUGAAGCCUCGACAUACUAAGAAUCCAGAGUUGAAAGGUUUGAUUUGGCAUGUACCUUGGAGCUACAAUGGGCCAGAAUUUAGGGAAAAUUUGUGGAAGAUAGAGUUAUAUGAUGAAGCAGUGCACCGAGAUUUGAUGAAAACAAAACCGGAGACAUGGUGCAGAGCAUUCAACAAGCUUGGAUCUUAUUGUGAGAAUGUGGAGAAUAAUUCAGUUGAAUCAUUCAACAACUCUAUAGGUAAAGCUAGGGAUAAGGCCUUAGUGCCUAUGCUAUAGACCAUUGCAAGAUUGGCAAUGGUUCGUAUAGCCAAAAGAGAUAUAAAAGCCACUAACUACAAUGGCUUUUGUACGCCAUACAUGAAGAAAUACUUCGAAGAGUUGCAUGACAAAGCUUCAGGAUGCUUUGUUAGACCAUCCACUAACAUGAAAUUUUCUUCUAUAAUCGAUGGAUGCACUCACCGAGUGGACUUGGCUAAUAAGAGAGGAAUUAUCGAUAGUUCACCCUGAUAUCCCAAAGAUGUCUGGUCGAAAGAAGGAUAACGAUAAGGCGGAGGAGAAAGUUACAAAGAAGGAUAAAAGAGGAAGAGAGGGAAGAAUGAGUCUCCCACGAAGAAGGCAGAACCAUUGGAGAAGAGGAGAACUAUGCAUUGUGGAAUAUGUGGAGCUGCUGGUCAUAAUUCUCAGUGGCAUAAUAAGAAGAAGAAAUCAAGAUCUGCGGUUCCUUUACUUGAGUCAUCAUCUCAAGUUGAAUCCUCACAAGGAGUUCUCAAUCAGCUUGACAAGACGAAGUGUUUUCUUUAGAUGUGUCUUUUGAUGCUGUUUAGAACAUGUUUUUAAUCUAUGUUAUGGCUGUCUUUUUGGACCUCUUUCAGCUUGUUCUGCGGCAAUGUCUUUCUUCUUAUUUUGUGGAUGUUUU